GGACGAAGCGACUUUUGAAUUCUUCACAAAUCCGCUUUUAUUUUUAUUCAAUAUUAUUUCUUUGCAUUAAAAAAAAGUUUUUAUUGAUUAUGAUGGAUGUUUACUUAUUGACAGUAUUUUGAACACGAAUAAAAAGUUUAUGAAUAUGAUUGCCAUAAUUUUAACUGAUCUUUGUGUUGAAGUGAACGUAACGCAAACGUUUACAUGUUAAAUAGGUUAUGAUAGAUCUUAUAACUAUGGCUGUACAAGGAACUCUAAUGUCGAAUGAUGUCUACGAGAGGAAGAACAGAAAUCCCAGAAACCAGUUUUACAAAAGACCAAUAAAAAAAGAUAAUUACAAACUGGAUGUAGAAGACGAGGAGUGUCCACAGGAAAUUCGUCGUCAAAAAUUGUUGUGUUCUCAGAAAAAAAACAGAGAUGCAGCUUUCAACGCUGGGCGUGCGAUUCUUGACGCAUGUAUUAAUUCUGAUGAAGAAAGUCUCGAAAGUAUGGAAGUUGACAAAAAGAACAGCGAGACAUUGCACCGGUAUAAGCAGUUCACAAACAAAUUGAUGAUGUCGGAAUGGAUGCUCGAAGUACCUGAAGAUUAUUUAGAAAAAUGGUUGAUUGUUCCAUGUCCAGAGGGUCGUAGGACUCUCGUUGUAGCCUGUAAAGGAAAAACGAAAGCUUAUAGCAGACGAGGAGAAAGACUGGGCAGAUUCAAUUCUGCUUUACCCGGGGGGAAUUCCAACGAGCAAAAUAAAAGUUGUACAAUUUUGGAUUGCAUCUGGCUUGCGAAGGAAAAAACUUAUUAUGCUCUUGAUGUAUUAGCGUGGUCAAACCAACCACUUUUAAAUUGUGACGCAGAAUUUCGUUUAUAUUGGUUGAAAUCAAAGCUCGCGGACAUGUCAGAUUUACAAAUGCGCAACGCGACCCGGAACACUUUUCCAAUUUUGCCGUUACCAUAUGCAUCGUGCACCGAGGAACCUUCCGAGAUUAUCGAGAAAUCUUUGUGUCUCAAGCCUCUCGAUGGUUUUUUGUUCUUCCAUCGAGAGGGACAAUACACGAACGGUCGAACUCCUCUGGUUACUUGGUUGAAACCAUUCAUGUUGAACGAAGUACUGGGAAUUACGAUUCCUAUGAGCCUUGAAGAAAAACCUGAUGGAUACAUCGAUUGUCAGCAUUACAUGGAAUCUCAAAAAUCCAGACCGAGGCCUAAAAAAGUAGUUCAGGAGAUGGACGUAGUUGAUAUUGACACCUGAAGAUUUUGACAGAUGAAAAAAAUUUGUGACUCACGACGAACCUCUCAGAGGGUAUCUGAAGAGAUUGUAAAUAUAUACAUAAAUGUCUACAUCUAAGGAAAUUGGGAAUUACACGAAGCAUGAAAGAAGAUAUCAGCAACGUGUUAUUCAAUAAUAUGAUGCAUACCCUAUUGUCCAUCAUAGUGAAAAAAGGGAAACUAAUUUUGCUCAAAAUGCAUAGUCCCAAGUGAAAACCGCCUUCGCUAAACAUCUGGGAUUUUAUCGUUUCGUGAAAUUUUAAAACGUGUUCGGCUUUUACAAACUGUCUGUUGUCAUCUUCAUCCUUCUUGCAUUCACUGAUUCUAAUAAAAAAAAAAGUUAUCAAUUACAA
Molecule: RNA transcript, 1611 nt
Organism: Venturia canescens
Lineage: Eukaryota; Metazoa; Arthropoda; Insecta; Hymenoptera; Ichneumonidae
Gene: Snup
Gene name: snurportin-1
Exons: 7
Source: RefSeq, a predicted model, not a curated record